UCUCAAGAGUGUUCAACAGCAGAGGUGAAACUGAAAGUUAACUCCAUCAAGAGCAGCGCUGGUUAACCAAGUACAAGGCAUCUAAUGUGAAACGUUGAAAUCAUCACUGAACAUGAGUUCAGCUGAGAGAGCAGCCUGUCUCUUCCCCUCACAUUGGCAGCUUGACAUUAUCAGGAAAU
This 179-nucleotide long non-coding RNA is filed under the name Danio rerio (zebrafish). RNAcentral describes it as "lncRNA si:dkey-33g13.1 (ENSDARG00000096761.3)". The record is from RNAcentral. Lineage: Eukaryota; Metazoa; Chordata; Actinopteri; Cypriniformes; Danionidae.